GAGCGGUAACAGGCGUAGCAAUACGUGCUGACGAGCGGCGAACGGGUGAGUAACGCUUCGGAAUCUGCCCAAUGGUGGGGAAUAACCAGCCGAAAGGUUGGCUAAUACCGCAUGAGCCCUACGGGGGAAAGCGGGGGAUCGCAAGACCUCGCGCCGAUGGAUGAGCCGAAGCCGGAUUAGCUAGUUGGUAGGGUAACGGCCUACCAAGGCGACGAUCCGUAGCUGGUCUGAGAGGACGACCAGCCACACUGGGACUGAGACACGGCCCAGACUCCUACGGGAGGCAGCAGUGGGGAAUAUUGGACAAUGGGGGAAACCCUGAUCCAGCGACGCCGCGUGUGUGAAGAAGGCCUGCGGGUUGUAAAGCACUUUUAGUGGGGAUGAAAAGCUCAGAGCUAACACCUCUGGGUCUUGACCUAACCCACAGAAAAAGCACCGGCUAACUCUGUG
This 450-nucleotide ribosomal RNA is filed under the name uncultured bacterium. RNAcentral describes it as "bacterial SSU rRNA". It matches the Rfam family "Bacterial small subunit ribosomal RNA", at positions 64 to 507 of the family's 1533-position model. The record is from RNAcentral.